Molecule: ribosomal RNA, 253 nt
Filed under: uncultured bacterium
Lineage: Bacteria
Description: partial 16S ribosomal RNA
Rfam family: Bacterial small subunit ribosomal RNA
Source: RNAcentral
UACAGAGGUCUCAAGCGUUGUUCGGAUUCAUUGGGCGUAAAGGGUGCGUAGGCGGCGCGGUAAGUCGGGUGUGAAAUCUUGGAGCUUAACUCCGAAACUGCAUUCGAUACUGCCGUGCUUGAGGACUGGAGAGGAGACUGGAAUUUACGGUGUAGCGGUGAAAUGCGUAGAUAUCGGGAGGAACACCAGUGGCGAAGGCGGCGAUCUGGGAAGAUACUGACGCUGAGGAGCGAAAGCAUGGGGAGCGAACAGG